GGAAUAUAUCGUCAUUCCCAAACAUUCUAUGAAUUUAUGAAAACGUGAGAAUGACCAUAUCUCUCUUGUCAAAAUGUUCUUUAUUUAAGGUGUCAUGUUCUUCCUGGGAUGUAUAUGAGCAGAUUUGAAUAAGAUUUCAUUUUGCUAAAAUGCUGUCAGUUCCACUUUAAUAAUGGAACACUGGUCACUUUAAUAAUGUUUACAUACUGUUUUACCCAUUUAAUAUGUAUAUACUGUAUUCUAGUCAAGGCCAUCCUAGCCAACUAUUGCUGUACAUAUACUAUUCUAUCCUUCAGAUAUACUACUUAUUCUAUCCACAUUGACUAAAGACAUUUCAGCUUUUAAUUUAAUUAAUUAAUUUGGAAACAUUUCUAAAAACAUAAUUCCACUGACAUUAUGGGGUAUUGUGUGUAGGCCAGUGACAAACUCAAAAUGUAAUCCAUUCAGGCUCUAACACAACAACAUGUGGAAAAGGUUAAGGGGUGUGAAUACUUUCUGAAGACAAUGUACAUUACUUUCAAUGCAGAUACCUGGGAGGCCUAGAAAAAUGAUACAAGGGAUGGCUCCAUAAAAUAAUAAAAAUAACAUUAAAAUAUAACCAUACAUAUGUGUGUGUCACAUGCACGCUUUCAUACAUGUAUGUCUUUAUAAUCAUGUGAUUCAUAGACUUACUGAAAGCAAGUGCAACACACAAAAACGAAAAUGCAAUAUUGAUUGAAUUUAUUUGAUACAAAAAAGGGCACUCCAGACAGUGACGCCUCCACCUACUAUUUAAGAAAAUCAUCAAGGAUAACACAAAUCUUGAAAACGUAAAAAAAACGUCUUGAAAACGUAGUUCCAUUGUUGUCCUUAACACUUCUCUGAAGUCCCCUGAGUGAAUAAAGCAACCUUGUUUCUACUUCUUACAGUUUCCACCCGCAAUGGGUUUCCUGGGGUAACAUGUAACCUCUUACAUUUGUAGGCCUUUUGUUAUAUAGUUACCACUUGCCAUGGGUUUCAUUAGGUAAACAGCAACAUGAAACAACCAGGCCUUGAAUCUUGAGCCUUGUUACAGUCUAUCGCCCUUAACGGGUUAGUUGAGAUAUAGUGUAAUGUGUAAUAGUCUACCGCCCAUGACAGGCUAGCUGAGGUAUGGACCUACUCAUAAAAUGAACAACAUCCCCAUGAAUCAGAUAGUGGUUAUAGUAUGAACCAGAAUCAGAUGGGAGUUUACCCAAGGUCCUUGGCUCCCACUGAGGCCUUCACCUCUGUCACCGUGAUGAGCGUACAUUUUUUACCUUUACUUAACUAGGCAAGUUAACAGACAUGAAUGAAGCACACUUGAAUGGCGUGUAGUUUCCUUCCUCUAAAGUUUCUACUUUAUGGUUUCCACAUCAGCAACUUGUCUUACAUUUCCACCUUCAUUCCCCUACACCACAUUCACACAUAUCAGUAUAUACUUAGGUCUCAAUGAGAAAAAUAUGUACAUUUAAAAUAAGAAUACACACUUUAUACACUGAAGCCUUACAUUCCAUACAUCAAUAAUACUUUGCCCAACUGAGGCAGGCCCUGAUAUCCUAAUGUCGUUGCUCAAAUGUUCUUUAAACAUCCUGAGUGGUUGUUACAUUGGUUAUUCAGUGUGCUGAACAGAGUAUCAUAUCAAAUGGAGUCCUUACUCUACUGAGGCCUUUCUUACAAUUGUUUUCUGAAGCAGGCCCUGAUAUACUCAUGCCAAGGGCACAUGAUAUCUUUAACUUGAACCCAAACACCAGAUGUGCUUGGGAGGAAGAUGCUACAAGCUAUUUAGGUCAGAGAUGUUGUGAUGUGCUGUUUUACUUAUUUUUUUAAAGCAAAUGUUGCUGCUUUUGUUGCUUGCUUGAGUGAUUUGUGAUUCCAGGGAGCUCCAUGCUAUCAUGGCUCUAUAUAUUACUGUGUGUUGCUUUGAAUUAAUUUUGGCUAUAGGGAAUGUGAAGAGACUUCUGGUUGCAUGUCUUGUGGAAUAUGAAUGUGUUUCAGAGCUGUAUGUUAGUUGAUUGAAUAGACCGUUUUUAGUUUUAAACACAUUCAUAUUUCUUACAAAAACAAGAAGUGAUGCAGACAAUCUCUCCUCUACUUUGAGCCAGGAAGGUCAACAUGCAUUUAGUUGACAUUAGCUCUAUGUGAACAAUAAAGUGCAAGAUGUGCUGCUCUGUUUUGGGCCAGCUGUAGCUAGCUUUAGUAUGUAGCACCUAAACACAGCCUGUGUGUCUAUGUAUGCUUAUGAUUCAACCCUUUACACGUCAGCGGCCACAGCUAGUGAAAUCGCUGCAAAUCUAAACGGAGAGUUGCAGUUAGUUUCAGAAUAGGUGGUCUGUAAUAAAUGAGUCCUGAAUAUAUCUAAGACUAAGAGCAUAGUAUUUGGUACCAAUCAUUCCCUAAGGUCUAGACCUCAGCUGGAUCUGAUAAUGGAACAUCUCUCCUAUUAUGAUAUCAAUAAAAUAAAUAGUGUGUAUGUGUUGUACGGGUUGUAAAGAUGAGCUGCAAUAUUAACAACAGUAACUAGAAGAAUACAUGAGUGAUAUAGAGGUCUGUUCCUGGCAGUCUGACUCAUACUGAUGUCUGCAUGGGAAUGGCCUUGGUACUGGGAACAGUCUGAGACACACACCAACGUGCACUUGCAUGCAACAAACUCAAGUACGCUCACACAUGCACGCGCACACAGCGGCCGGACUGUCCGUAACAAAAUGUUUCCUUCCUCUUUGUGCAUGUGCCAUUAAAAAGGAGCAGGGCAAGAGUGUGUGUAGAGCAUAGUUUGUAGGCGGGCCAAAGAGAAGUGUAUGAAAUGUGUCAUGCUGGCUGGCUGACUGGGGGCCGGACUCACUUAUAACAGUGGGUGGGAAGAAAGGAGCUUCCUCCUAUUGAUAAGGAACACAGUCAGGACUGCCAGUCAGACAAGUAGACACACUACUCGCACACAUCAGAAUGGAAAGACUGGUAGACUGUCAGGUAAACUUACAGAUGGACAAACAGGCAGACAGACAUAUAGACACCAAGGUGUUCCUUCCUGGGCCCCUCUCACCAGUAGCCCUCUACCCCUGGUUCAGGUGUGUGGUUGCCUUGGUAUCAGUGAUGGGGCUCGUGAUCAUGGCUCUAUUCGUGGGGUUCUGCAUUGGGUUCUACACCCAGAGAACCACACAGGUAAGUGUGUGUGUGUGUGUGUGUGUGUGUGUGUGUGUGUAAAGUUGUAUUUCUCAUCUCUCUCUCUCUCUCUCUAGGGAAGUGGACAAGCAAAUUGCACAGAGAAAUUAAACAAGACCUUCAUACUUCAAGAGGGCAAACCGUCAGAAGAUGAAACAAGACGAAUACGACUAUGACAUCUUCAUCGCCCCAAAGGACGCCAUCUAUUUCAUCCAUGGCCAGGUGACGAUGGCAGAAGGGAAGGGGAAAGUCUACCUGUUUUGGAAACUCAAAAGCAGCCGUAAGAUCAAAACCAACAACGGAACCUGUCCUGAGAUCACCUUCGCUACGGAGGUCAAGUUGUUGAAAGGUGGUCGGGUUUACCUCGUCUUCAACACGGGCAAACCCAAACUGAAAGAGAGCACUUUCUCAGUCUACGAGCUCGUCGAGCAGUGACCGGACUGAAACAGUACAGUCUAUGAGCUCGUCGAGCAGUGACCGGACUGAAACAGUACAGUCUACGAGCUCGUCGAGCAGUGACCGGACUGAAACAGUACAGUCUACGAGCUCGUCGAGCAGUGAUCGGACUGAAACAGUACAGUCUACGAGCUCGUCGAGCAGUGGCCGGACUGAAACAGUACAGUCUACGAGCUCGUCGAGCAGUGACCGGACUGAAACAGUACAGUCUACGAGCUCGUCGAGCAGUGACCGGACUGAAACAAACACGAGCUCGUCGAGCAGUGACCGGACUGAAACAGUACAGUCUACGAGCUCGUCGAGCAGUGACCGGACUGAAACAGUACAGUCUACGAGCUCGUCGAGCAGUGACCGGACUGAAACAGUACAGUCUACGAGCUUGUCGAGCAGUGACCGGACUGAAACAGUACAGUCUAGAAGUGUUAUGCCACACUCUGUAAGAUACCGUUAGAGUUAACAACAAAACAUAAACAAUGGAGCUGAUACAUUUCUACACGCAACUUAAAAUCGUAACGUUUGCUUAAAAGAAUCGGGCAGUAAAUACCGGUACAUUACAUGCAUACGUGUUCACUUGUGUACAAUAAUUAUACAUUGAUUGUACAAAACAUUAGGAGCACCUUCCUUAUAUUGAGUUGCACCCCCUUUUGCCUUCAGAACAGCCUCAAUUCGUUGGGGCAUUUAACUCUACAAGGUGUUGAAAGCAUUCCACAGGGAUGCUGGCCCAUGUUGACUCAUGCUUCCCACAGAUGUGUCAAGUUGGCUGGAUGUCAUUUGGAUGGUGGACCAUUCUUGAUACACACAAGAAAAAUUUGAGUGUGAAAAACCCAGCAGCGUUGCAGUUCACCCUCUGAAUGGCACACAUACGCAAUCAAUGUCUCAAUUGUCUCAAGGCUUAAAAAUCAUUCUUUAACCUGUCUUCUCCCCUUCAGCUACACUGAUUGAAGUGGAUUUAACAAGUGACAUCAAUAAGGGAUUAUAGCUUUCACCUGGGUUCACCUGGUCAGUCUAUGUCAUGGAAAGAGCAGGUGUUCCUAAUGUUUUGUACACUCAGUGUAUGUGUAUACUGGUAUCGUUAUUGUAUGUUAUCAGAAUGUUAGGGGACAGGGAAUCCCAAGAAAGAAAUGCAUACCUUAUAUUUUCUACAAUAUUUUAGUUGUAAAACGUAUUGAUCAACCAGGAAGUUACAAAGUGAUUAAAUGUAAUAAUAGGAUGGUGGAAUAUGAUUGUAUGUAAAUAUGUUGUCUAUGUAAUUAUAUUGUGGUCCUCUGUAGGUCAGUUGGUAGAGCAUUUGUCUUGCAAAGCCAGGAUAGUGGGUUCGAUUCCCAGGACCACCCAUACUAAAAACAUAUAUGCACGUAAGUCGCUUUAGCUAAAUGGCAUGAUAUAAGAGGACUCUUUUAUUAUCUAAGGAAGUCUGAUCUUGCACUGUAUUAUUUUAACCCAGUGCUUUCCCUGUUAUAGUGAAUGUUCUGAAUAUUUACUAUGCUUUGGAUCAAAUAAAGUAUUUCAUAUGAAAAAACUG
This is a long non-coding RNA of Oncorhynchus tshawytscha (Chinook salmon), 5134 nucleotides long. NCBI's taxonomy places the organism in Eukaryota, Metazoa, Chordata, Actinopteri, Salmoniformes, Salmonidae. The record is from Ensembl.